AAAGUCGUAACAAGGUCUCCGUUGGUGAACCAGCGGAGGGAUCAUUAGAGAAUAGGACCGCCUAGUCGUGGCUCUACCAACCCCUGUGGACGAUACCUUGUAGAUGUUGCCUCGGCGCGUGGGGCGCGAGCGCUACAGCGAGAGUUGCAGCGCGCUGCGCCCCGCCGCCGGCAGCCCAACCAAAACGCUCCGGACAAAGCUCAGCGCUCUCUCUGAACACAAAAACUUUUAACGAGUAAAAACUUUUGGCAACGGAUCUCUUGGCUCUG
This 269-nucleotide unclassified non-coding RNA is filed under the name Ascomycota sp. Its description in RNAcentral is "partial contains small subunit ribosomal RNA, internal transcribed spacer 1, and 5.8S ribosomal RNA". The stretch from base 1 to 47 matches the Rfam family "Eukaryotic small subunit ribosomal RNA", at positions 1785 to 1831 of the family's 1831-position model. The record is from RNAcentral. Lineage: Eukaryota; Fungi; Ascomycota.